UACGAAGGGGGCUAGCGUUGUUCGGAAUCACUGGGCGUAAAGGGUGCGUAGGCGGGCCUUUAAGUCAGGGGUGAAAUCCUGGAGCUCAACUCCAGAACUGCCUUUGAUACUGAAGAUCUUGAGUCCGGGAGAGGUGAGUGGAACUGCGAGUGUAGAGGUGAAAUUCGUAGAUAUUCGCAAGAACACCAGUGGCGAAGGCGGCUCACUGGCCCGGUACUGACGCUGAGGCACGAAAGCGUGGGGAGCAAACAGG
RNAcentral lists this ribosomal RNA (253 nucleotides) under uncultured bacterium. Its description in RNAcentral is "partial 16S ribosomal RNA". It matches the Rfam family "Bacterial small subunit ribosomal RNA", at positions 524 to 776 of the family's 1533-position model. The record is from RNAcentral.